GGAAAAAGAAUUGUCUUCUCUGAUUAUUGUUUCGUUAAGUGUUACGAGUGUAUGGACUUACAAAUGAGUUCAAAAGCUAUAACGUUUUAGAAAAUGUUUGGUUAUGAGGCAGGAGGCCAUUGAUGUUAAUUGCACGUUAGUAUCUUGUGCAUGCUACCGGUUGAGAUUUAUAAAUAUUUUUGAUAUGUUUAAAAAUUUU
RNAcentral lists this long non-coding RNA (199 nucleotides) under Prunus persica (peach). RNAcentral's name for it is "long non-coding RNA (PPER_LNC006266)". Lineage: Eukaryota; Viridiplantae; Streptophyta; Magnoliopsida; Rosales; Rosaceae. The record is from RNAcentral.